UGUGCUCAGUGUGAACCUGCUUUCAUCUGUGAAGAGCACAGGGCGCCAGUGGCGAAUUUGCCAAUCUUGGUGUUCUCUGGCAAAUGCCAGACGUCCUGCACGUGUUGGGCUGUUACACAGGGACUGGGAGAAGAACCUAAGGGAACUCUACUCGGACAAACCCCAUCCGGGAUUCUGCAGCCCAUUUUGCAUGACUAUGGAAGGGUUCUUUGAUUGACAAUCUCUCUCACACUACCAUAAUUCCAAUGAAAUAAGUAGUGCAGGAUAUGAGGGGGUGUAAUGGAUGAAAACCAGUGUGGGGAUGUGGACUACUUACUACAGGAUGAAGAUUCACUCAUAGAAGGGGUCAGCAACCCAGUCCUCAUCGUGGUAGUUCUGAGUUGCUUUUUUGAUUGGACUUCUAUCACUGCUCUACAGAGACGAUCAACUAAACAUCCACCCAGAGAACCAGGAGCAUGUGCGUGCUGUUCGGUAGCAGCUUCUGCCACCUCCUCUAUGGUUCCUGUAUAAUUGCGUAUUGGAGGCGUGGGACUUGGUGUGGUGCUAUUAACUGUCCCAUCUGUUGACAAAUGGUGACAUUUUUUUCUGCUCUUUCAAUAACACGCCUCACUGCAGCAGGUCCAGGAUGGGCAGACUGAGCCGAUACGAUACUCAUCUUGCAGGAUCUCGUUUCUGUUCUUAGAAAUACUAAAACUAGCAUUCCUGCAAGAUUAUUUUGUUUAAAUGUAAUUUAAUCUCUGAGAAAUUAAGCUAAUUGAUUUCAACCCAAUUGGCCAUUUUAAUGUACAGGAUUCAUUUAAUAUUCAACAAAUAUAGUACCUAACAUCCGAUUUGGACAAAACUUUUUUUCUAACAAUGAGUUGGGUGCAAUCAAUUAGCUGCAUUUCUCAGAGAUCACAUUAUAUUUCAACAAAAUAAUGAUUCCAGAAUGCCUAUUUUAUCUGUUUCUAAAUACAGAAACUAUUUCAGAACAAUCAGAUGGUGGGUGUCAUGGCUUGCAGAAAUGACAUGGAAUGACCUGGAAGCAAUAUCUAAAUGACAUACUGUCACGCCCUGGUCUUAGUAUUUUGUGUUUUCUUUAUUAUUUUGGUCAGGCCAGGGUGUGACAUGGGUUAAUUAUGUGGUGUGUUUUUGUCUUGUUUUUUUUGUAGGUAUUAGGAUUGUGGUAUAGUGGGGUUAUCUAGAAAAGUCUAUGGUUGCCUGAAGUGGUUCUCAAUCAGAGGCAGGUGUUUAUCGUUGUCUCUGAUUGGGAACCAUAUUUAGGCAGCCAUAUUCUUUGAGUGUUUCGUGGGUGAUUGUUCCUGUCUCAGUGUUUGUUUUCACCAGAUAAGGCUGUUUAGGUUUUCACGUUAUGUUUAUUGUUUGUAUUGUUCGUGUUUAUCUUUUUAUUAAACAUGAAUCGAAAUGACCACGCUGCAUUUUGGUCCGAUCCCUGCUACACCUCCUCUUCAGAGGAGGAGGAGAAAGAGAACCUUAACACAUAUGUCAUAUCAUGUUGAUUGACUAUCUGUAUGGAUUAUUAUUACAGCUGUGGUAAUUGGGUAACUGAUAAGGGAAUUAUAUGCUUAAAGGUAAUGAUUCAAAUAUUCCACCC
This is a long non-coding RNA of Oncorhynchus tshawytscha (Chinook salmon), 1594 nucleotides long. The record is from Ensembl. NCBI's taxonomy places the organism in Eukaryota, Metazoa, Chordata, Actinopteri, Salmoniformes, Salmonidae.